ACGCAUAGCCUAACAACUCUCUCUCUCUCUCUCUCUCUCUCUCUCCCCUCCCUCCUCCCAUGGCUGCCUCUGGUUCCAAGCCCCAUCCUCCCUCUAGUUCCAAACCUCCCAAAAACCCCAUAACCCUCAAACCCACAAAUGAAACCCAAACUCCAAACCCUAACCCUUCCACCUCCAAAAGCCCUCCUAUCCCACCCUCCCAAGAAGAAAUCGCUCUCUCAGGCGCCUCCCACCUCACGCGCCCGGAGGUCCUCCGCCGCCGUUCCUACUUCUUAAGGCAGCUCAGAAAAUUCUACCAAUCCAAAUACUGGGCCUUCAUGGAGGAGGUCAAGAAGAAGCACAGGGAGUUCUACUGGAACUUCGGUGUGAGCCCUUUCAAAGAUGAGCACAAGAGCGAUAGAGACGCUGCUGGGAAUGCUGAAGGCACUGAUGAGAACAAUAACAACAUCAACAGCAAUUUCAACAACAAUAAUGGUGGUGCUGCGAUUGCUCGGACCGACGUCGAUGCGAAAAAGAAACUGCAAUGCUCUUAUCAUCAGUGUAAGACGAAGGCCAUGCCGUUGACGAGCUUUUGUCACCUCCAUAUUUUAUCGGAUUCGAAGCAGAAGCUCUAUAAGCCUUGUGGGUUUGUUAUCAAGAGUGCUCAUACAGGACCUCUAACCUGUGGGAAGCCAAUACUGAGAUCCACUGUUCCUUCUCUUUGUACUCAUCACUUCCAAGUGGCUCAGAAGGCUAUCAAAAAGGCCUUGAAGAAGGCAGGCCUUAAUGGGCCAUCAACAAAUAAGCUUGCUCCAAAGUUCCAUGUCAUAGUAGCAGAAUAUGUACGCCAAAUUCAGGCCAAACGAAGAGCUGCACAAAGGGCAAAGGGAAAGAAAGUCGCAAUUAAGGAAGAAACCUCUGACUGAACCUCUCCACUGGCAGCUGCACAGAUGAUUCAUCGAGUAUUGUUGAUUGUGUGAAAUGAUGGAAAACCAGAGUAUGCCUUUUCAGGUAUCAAAUCUGCAUUUUGCAGUAGGAACAAGACUCAGAAUCGGAACGUGCUCAGAAUGAAAUGAUGCAUUUUGCAGUAGGAUAUUUAAAUGUGGAUUUCUUGCUUUCUUUUUUCUUUUCAUUUUUGGGUUAAAUGUACAUGACCAAGAGCUUCAAGACAUUAACAGGGUGAUUUGGAUUACAUAUUGCCUUGGCAAUCAAAGUUUUGCACUUGAUACGUGCCUAGAAUAGCUGGGAAUCCCCUAGUUCUGUACAGUUAAUUCAUAAUGUGAAAAAGGCGUUGUAGAAACCGUGCGUGUGUAGUUGCGUCUUGCUCGUACAUGUAUGUAUAGGUUUGUUUGGCUUGAUUUUUUAUUUGAGCUGGUGUAACGCAGUUAGCAGGCACAAUCUUCGCCCGUGUUCCUUUAAAAUUAUGGUAAUGUUCUUUCUUC
RNA transcript from Prunus dulcis (almond), 1421 nucleotides. It is a transcript of the gene named INO80 complex subunit D-like, with no coding region annotated. The transcript is spliced from 3 exons. The record is from RefSeq and is a predicted model, not a curated record. NCBI's taxonomy places the organism in Eukaryota, Viridiplantae, Streptophyta, Magnoliopsida, Rosales, Rosaceae.